CCUACGGGAGGCAGCAGUGGGGAAUAUUGGACAAUGGGGGGAACCCUGAUCCAGCGACGCCGCGUGAGUGAAGAAGUAUUUCGGUAUGUAAAGCUCUAUCAGCAGGGAAGAAAAUGACGGUACCUGACUAAGAAGCCCCGGCUAACUACGUGCCAGCAGCCGCGGUAAUACGUAGGGGGCAAGCGUUCUCCGGAUUUACUGGGUGGAAAGGGAGCGGAGACGGUGCAGCAAGGCUGGUGUGAAAGGUCGGGGCCCAAACCCCGGAUCGCAUUGGAAACUGUUGAACUGGAGUAAAGGAGAGGUAAGCGGAAUUCCUAGUGUAGCGGUGAAAUGCGUAGAUAUUAGGAGGAACACCAGUGGCGAAGGCAGCUUACUGGACUGUAACUGACGUUGAGGCUCGAAAGCGUGGGGAGCAAACAGGAUUAGAUACCCGGGUAGUC
RNAcentral lists this ribosomal RNA (440 nucleotides) under uncultured bacterium. RNAcentral's name for it is "partial 16S ribosomal RNA". It matches the Rfam family "Bacterial small subunit ribosomal RNA", at positions 338 to 795 of the family's 1533-position model. The record is from RNAcentral.